AGAAAGCCGCGCCGGCCCCAGUCCCCGUGGGCUGAAGGCAGGUUGAGUUCUUCCCCAGGUCUGCGAGCCUCGAAGGCUUCUCUCAGACAGCAGACCCCUUAGAAGCGCAAGGCUGCUUUCUGACAAAGAAUCAAGUGUUCCUUUCAACAAGCCAAGGGACUGGUUUUCUCGCUGACCCUUUGACAGCUCCAGCCGGUCCCUCCAUUAGGGGUCCCUAACUUCCCACAACAGACCGAGAUGGCCUUCUGAGCUUUUCCAGGGCUGAUGACCACCUUCUUGAUACCUUCCCCUCUCUGAUUCUGAGUUUGUGCCCACCAGAUGGGGCCAUCUAGUUGCAGGAAAACAAGCUCAGGGCUCCCACUGAUUCUACAUGAUGGGAAUCCAGGCUUUCGGAGAUGAGGACUGGGAGGUCUCCAGACCACACAAGCUCCCUAUUUGCACUGGCCUUUGGAAUGAGCCUACAGCCUGCCUCCAUUGCUCCUGGCACCCCAGCUGUUCUCAAGGAAUUGGCCAGAAGUCAGACUCCCUUCCCAGCCGUCCUCCACUUCUUUCCUGCCAGGCACCCCAGGCCCCAUGGUGGGAUUGGGCCUAUAGGCUGUGAUUUUCCACAUCCUUGUCAAACCUGUACUACCUGAAUGCCUAGAGGAAAAGAUACUGCCUUAAUUACAAUUAUGAGCAUGAAUGCCUUCUUACUCCUGAAUUUAGCUGAGUGCUGCCUGCAGGUAAAGUCACCUGGAGAACCAUCCAGGGACUUUGUCCUCAUAGGAUCACUUGUACCUCUCUAGGGUUGCUGUGGCAGCUGCCAGAGUGGCCCAGGCCAUGGAUGAGGGCCAGGAUAUGGACGGCAGAUGCGGAAAUGAGCCCAGAGGCCACAGGGCCCAGCUCUCAGGCUCCCAGUGAAGCCUGGUGAAGCCCAGAGGGUUCCUUCUCUCUCCUGCUUCAGGCUGACAAUGUUUGUCAGCCUCUGCUCCCAAACCCUAUACCCAGCAACCUCUGCACCCAAGCACGUGUUCUGAAGAAUAUUCUGGCGUUGGGCCCCUGUAGGUGGCCUGCCAUGAAGGUGGAAGCCUAGAACGUAGUGACAUGGAUUCAUUAUUGGGAUGUUCAUCCUAAGGAAAUGCACUCGCAGGCGGCUCUAGACCUUGGGGACUCCAGCCUCGUUCAUUUAAGCUCCCACACUGUGCCAGGCCCUAUGUGGGUUGCAAGGGGCAGAGAGACGCAGAAUGACAGCCGACAUGGCACUCCAUUGGCACACUGGCACUGUUCUUUUUUUUUUUUUUUGAGAUGGAGUCUUGCUCUGUCACCCAGACUGGAGUGCGGUGGCAUGAUGGAGGU
Molecule: RNA transcript, 1335 nt
Organism: Pongo pygmaeus (Bornean orangutan)
Lineage: Eukaryota; Metazoa; Chordata; Mammalia; Primates; Hominidae
Exons: 4
Source: RefSeq, a predicted model, not a curated record